UGGGGUUUUGUUGUUGGAACGACGAGGCGUCAACACAAUGGUCCAGUCUCUGUGUGACGCCAAACUUGUUGGGUUUUCGGUAUCACCAACGAAAAUAUUCAACAUGUUGGGAAAAAUUUUCCAUGUGUGACGCCGCGUUUAGUGUUAAUUGGUAUUUAAUAUGUUUAGAUUAACUGAUACUUCGGGUGCCGGUUUGGGUUGGGUCGUACCAGUCAAGGAGUCGAGCUCCUGCUGAAGGUGUGGAUUGUUUGUGGUGGACAGUUACUUGUUAUAUAGACAUCAAUCGUGAGACUUUGAUGUUUCCUUGUUCUUCACUGGGAGCUUAUCAAGACGAGAGAGUUCAAGUCAACGUACUUAACUCCGUCCAGCAAACAACACAGCCACGGCCUACCACUUCACUCCGACACGCGGACCUAAUCAGCUAGCAUCUCAAAAUAGCUCGUGGCGGAGGCUGAGUCUGGAUCAUGCGGGGACCGUCACAUGGAAGCCGGCAGGGUCUCUCCUGGACAGCAUCCCUCCCUGACCCUUAGUGUGACCCUCAACCUUCCGCCCCACACCGCCAUGACACACACCGCACCUGCCACCGCCACCACCGUCACGACACGCAUCGCUCCUGCCACCACCGCCACGACACACACCGCCACUGCCGCCAUCAGGACUUCAAAGGGAGGCGGUGAAUUAGUUGUGGCGUGUGGAUGUGGUGAUGACUGUGGCAUGUGCUGGAUAUGUCAGCUUCUCGGCCUGUCACGUUCACUCUUCGGCUUGGACCGGCAGGCUUAGCGGCACGCAGGACUGAGCACACGACGAGGCUCCUCACGCGUCACUCACUUUGCCACUGCCACUCAGCUGUGUCUGGAAUGCUGCUGGGGGGACUGGGAUGAAAAUUUAGCUCCUUGAUUGCUUUGUUAUCUUAUAGAAGUAGCUAUCAAAUUUUAAAACACAAGAAUAUAAUUGCAGCUACUCAAAAAAAAAAAAAAAAAAAGCGCCAAGUAUUUGAUAUUCCGCUUUCAUUUAAAAUCCUACCCUAAACUUACACCAGACUGUUUUGUUAAGCUUAAACAAAGCCAUAGCAAUCAGAAAGCUCAGUGUCUCACAGUCGGUGUACACUUCC
Molecule: long non-coding RNA, 1111 nt
Organism: Scylla paramamosain (green mud crab)
Lineage: Eukaryota; Metazoa; Arthropoda; Malacostraca; Decapoda; Portunidae
Exons: 3
Source: RefSeq, a predicted model, not a curated record